This 253-nucleotide ribosomal RNA is filed under the name uncultured bacterium. RNAcentral's name for it is "partial 16S ribosomal RNA". It matches the Rfam family "Bacterial small subunit ribosomal RNA", at positions 524 to 776 of the family's 1533-position model. The record is from RNAcentral.
UACAGAGGGGGCCAGCGUUAUUCGGAAUUAUUGGGCGUAAAGGGCGCGUAGGCGGCCUGUUAAGUCGAACGUGAAAUCCCCGGGCUCAACCCGGGAACUGCGUCCGAUACUGGCAGGCUUGAAUCCGGGAGAGGGAUGCGGAAUUCCAGGUGUAGCGGUGAAAUGCGUAGAUAUCUGGAGGAACACCGGUGGCGAAGGCGGCAUCCUGGACCGGCAUUGACGCUGAGGCGCGAAAGCCAGGGGAGCAAACGGG